AAUACGUUCCCGGGCCUUGUACACACCGCCCGCCAAGUCACGAAAGUCGGUAACACCCGAAGCCGGUGGCCCAACCCUUGUGGGGGGAGCCGUCGAAGGUGGGACUGGCGAUUGGGACU
This 119-nucleotide ribosomal RNA is filed under the name uncultured bacterium. RNAcentral describes it as "partial 16S ribosomal RNA". It matches the Rfam family "Bacterial small subunit ribosomal RNA", at positions 1365 to 1482 of the family's 1533-position model. The record is from RNAcentral.